Molecule: non-coding RNA, 115 nt
Organism: Triticum urartu
Lineage: Eukaryota; Viridiplantae; Streptophyta; Magnoliopsida; Poales; Poaceae
Source: Rfam
GAAAUACUCCCUCCGUUCCGAAUUACUUGUCGCAGGUAUGAAUGUAUCCAGAUGUAUUUUAAUUCUAAAUACAUCCAUUUCUACGACAAGUAAUUUGAAACGGAGGGAGUAGUAG